Molecule: ribosomal RNA, 450 nt
Filed under: uncultured bacterium
Lineage: Bacteria
Description: bacterial SSU rRNA
Rfam family: Bacterial small subunit ribosomal RNA
Source: RNAcentral
GUGGGGAAUAUUGGACAAUGGGCGAAAGCCUGAUCCAGCCAUGCCGCGUGUGUGAAGAAGGUCUUCGGAUUGUAAAGCACUUUAAGUUGGGAGGAAGGGUAGUAACCUAAUACGUUGCUACUUUGACGUUACCGACAGAAUAAGCACCGGCUAACUUCGUGCCAGCAGCCGCGGUAAUACGAAGGGUGCAAGCGUUAAGCGGAAUUACUGGGCGUAAAGCGCGCGUAGGUGGUUCAGUAAGUUGGAAGUGAAAUCCCCGGUCUCAACCUGGGAACUGCUUUCAAAACUGCUGAGCUAGAGUACGGUAGAGGGUGGUGGAAUUUCCUGUGUAGCGGUGACAUGCGUAGAUAUAGGAAGGAACACCAGUGGCGAAGGCGACCACCUGGACUGAUACUGACACUGAGGUGCGAAAGCGUGGGGAGCAAACAGGACUAGAAACCCGUGUAGUCC